UAAAUUGAGAGUUUGAUCCUGGCUCAGGAUGAACGCUGGCGGCGUGCUUAACACAUGCAAGUCGAGCGAUGAAGUUU
RNAcentral lists this ribosomal RNA (77 nucleotides) under Clostridium perfringens. Its description in RNAcentral is "partial 16S ribosomal RNA". It matches the Rfam family "Bacterial small subunit ribosomal RNA", at positions 1 to 77 of the family's 1533-position model. The record is from RNAcentral. Lineage: Bacteria; Bacillati; Bacillota; Clostridia; Eubacteriales; Clostridiaceae.